RNAcentral lists this ribosomal RNA (775 nucleotides) under Escherichia coli. Its description in RNAcentral is "bacterial LSU rRNA". It matches the Rfam family "Bacterial large subunit ribosomal RNA", at positions 418 to 1194 of the family's 2925-position model. RNAcentral also lists the same sequence under 11 other names. Lineage: Bacteria; Pseudomonadati; Pseudomonadota; Gammaproteobacteria; Enterobacterales; Enterobacteriaceae. The record is from RNAcentral.
CGGGACACGUGGUAUCCUGUCUGAAUAUGGGGGGACCAUCCUCCAAGGCUAAAUACUCCUGACUGACCGAUAGUGAACCAGUACCGUGAGGGAAAGGCGAAAAGAACCCCGGCGAGGGGAGUGAAAAAGAACCUGAAACCGUGUACGUACAAGCAGUGGGAGCACGCUUAGGCGUGUGACUGCGUACCUUUUGUAUAAUGGGUCAGCGACUUAUAUUCUGUAGCAAGGUUAACCGAAUAGGGGAGCCGAAGGGAAACCGAGUCUUAACUGGGCGUUAAGUUGCAGGGUAUAGACCCGAAACCCGGUGAUCUAGCCAUGGGCAGGUUGAAGGUUGGGUAACACUAACUGGAGGACCGAACCGACUAAUGUUGAAAAAUUAGCGGAUGACUUGUGGCUGGGGGUGAAAGGCCAAUCAAACCGGGAGAUAGCUGGUUCUCCCCGAAAGCUAUUUAGGUAGCGCCUCGUGAAUUCAUCUCCGGGGGUAGAGCACUGUUUCGGCAAGGGGGUCAUCCCGACUUACCAACCCGAUGCAAACUGCGAAUACCGGAGAAUGUUAUCACGGGAGACACACGGCGGGUGCUAACGUCCGUCGUGAAGAGGGAAACAACCCAGACCGCCAGCUAAGGUCCCAAAGUCAUGGUUAAGUGGGAAACGAUGUGGGAAGGCCCAGACAGCCAGGAUGUUGGCUUAGAAGCAGCCAUCAUUUAAAGAAAGCGUAAUAGCUCACUGGUCGAGUCGGCCUGCGCGGAAGAUGUAACGGGGCUAAACCAUGCAC